ACUAUGUCCAAGCAGCAAUUUUAUUUUUGCAAUAUGUUCCAUUAUAUACUUUUCUGAAGUUAAUGUUGUUUACGCCAGAUCAACAUACUUAAUUACAGUUUUAUACACGAAUUCUGCAUUUUGCCAGAAGUUGAAGAUCUUUCUAAUACUCUGUACUCAAGAGGAAGGCAGAGCUUUCUAUGUGGAGUGACUGAAACAAUUUCGUCCAAAUGUUUGUUGCCACGGGCAAAAUAUCUAAAGAUUGUUCACUUGAAAAUUAUGACUCUUUUUCAGAAUUUUACAUCGUGUUAUUUGUUUUAUGGACUAUUCAGUAUGCAUUGCACCAACACUAAUUACUGCACUAAUAAGUCAGCGUGCUACCAAGAUGUUUUGCCAUUAUAAUUACAGCCACAUGUUGUUGUCCUUCCUCAAAUAGUCCAGGCUUAAUUGCAUCAUUUUUCAGGAGAAUUUAUGUGGUACAGCUUAAUUCAAAAUUACUACAUGAAUAAAUGAAGUGUAAACUAUUUUUUGUACUGACUCACAUACAGAAUAAAUGUUCUAG
Callithrix jacchus (white-tufted-ear marmoset) is the source of this 541-nucleotide long non-coding RNA. The record is from Ensembl. NCBI's taxonomy places the organism in Eukaryota, Metazoa, Chordata, Mammalia, Primates, Cebidae.